GUGUCAGCCGCCGCGGUAAUACGAAGGGGGCUAGCGUUGUUCGGAAUCACUGGGCGUAAAGCGCACGUAGGCGGACUUUCAAGUCAGGGGUGAAAUCCCGGGGCUCAACCUCGGAACUGCCUUUGAUACUGUUGGUCUUGAGUCCGGAAGAGGUGGGUGGAAUUCCUAGUGUAGAGGUGAAAUUCGUAGAUAUUAGGAAGAACACCGGUGGCGAAGGCGGCCCACUGGUCCGGUACUGACGCUGAGGUGCGAAAGCGUGGGGAGCAAACAGGAUUAGAUACCCCCGUAGUCC
This 292-nucleotide ribosomal RNA is filed under the name uncultured bacterium. Its description in RNAcentral is "partial 16S ribosomal RNA". It matches the Rfam family "Bacterial small subunit ribosomal RNA", at positions 505 to 796 of the family's 1533-position model. The record is from RNAcentral.